AACCCGGUAGCUCAGUUGGUUAGAGCAUUGUACUUAUAAUGCAAUGGUCGCGAGUUCGAUUCUCGCUCGGGUUA
Molecule: transfer RNA, 74 nt
Filed under: Sphaerobolus stellatus SS14
Lineage: Eukaryota; Fungi; Basidiomycota; Agaricomycetes; Geastrales; Sphaerobolaceae
Description: tRNA-Ile (TAT) (tRNA-Ile-TAT-1-1, tRNA-Ile-TAT-1-2)
Rfam family: tRNA
About the family: Transfer RNA (tRNA) molecules are approximately 80 nucleotides in length.
Source: RNAcentral